GCGACCCCAGGAUGGGCGAGGCC
Molecule: ribosomal RNA, 23 nt
Filed under: Thunia alba
Lineage: Eukaryota; Viridiplantae; Streptophyta; Magnoliopsida; Asparagales; Orchidaceae
Also listed under: 21 other names
Description: partial 26S ribosomal RNA
Source: RNAcentral